GUGCAUGUCAGACCACCGUCUCCCUCUUUAGCUGUAGGGAGUGACGGUGUCUAAGAAAACAUGCAAGAUUAACACUGCCUGGAGUUCACAGGGCCAUCGAUCUUACAGAGUUGAUCAAUUGGUAGUAUCAGACUCCUACAAAG
This is a small nucleolar RNA of Parambassis ranga (Indian glassy fish), 143 nucleotides long. Lineage: Eukaryota; Metazoa; Chordata; Actinopteri; Ambassidae. The record is from Ensembl.